RNAcentral lists this ribosomal RNA (253 nucleotides) under uncultured bacterium. RNAcentral's name for it is "partial 16S ribosomal RNA". It matches the Rfam family "Bacterial small subunit ribosomal RNA", at positions 524 to 776 of the family's 1533-position model. The record is from RNAcentral.
UACGUAGGGACCAAGCGUUGUUCGGAUUUACUGGGCGUAAAGGGCGCGUAGGCGGCGUGACAAGUCACUUGUGAAAUCUCCGGGCUUAACUCGGAACGGUCAAGUGAUACUGUUGUGCUAGAGUACAGAAGGGGCAAUCGGAAUUCUUGGUGUAGCGGUGAAAUGCGUAGAUAUCAAGAGGAACACCUGAGGUGAAGACGGGUUGCUGGGCUGACACUGACGCUGAUGCGCGAAAGCUAGGGGAGCAAACGGG